UUCUGACUCCAGGACCUUGCUCCCGGGUGGCAUCCCUGGACCUGCCUAGGGCCUAAGAAAACUUGCCAACCUGAAGAGAAGGACACAGGGCUGGCUGGCUUUGCCACCUGCUGAUUGUAGAGGCUGGGGACUUUCAGCAAACACAGGAGCUUUGAUGCAUCUCCCCUGAAUUUAGAAAAUAGGAUGCAUGUUCCCUCCGGGAUAGGGUCUAUGUAUAGCAUGGCAACUUAUACAGUUGUAUUUAGUACGGAUGGAGAUGGAAUUCUAACCAAG
Molecule: long non-coding RNA, 273 nt
Filed under: Homo sapiens (human)
Lineage: Eukaryota; Metazoa; Chordata; Mammalia; Primates; Hominidae
Description: non-protein coding lnc-GAP43-9:3
Source: RNAcentral